This 479-nucleotide ribosomal RNA is filed under the name Craspedocephalus peltopelor. RNAcentral's name for it is "Craspedocephalus sp. AKM-2020b partial large subunit ribosomal RNA". It matches the Rfam family "Bacterial large subunit ribosomal RNA", at positions 1835 to 2607 of the family's 2925-position model. Lineage: Eukaryota; Metazoa; Chordata; Lepidosauria; Squamata; Viperidae. The record is from RNAcentral.
CUAAACAAGUAUUAAAGGCAACGCCUGCCCGGUGAAUAAUUUAACGGCCGCGGUACCCUAACCGUGCAAAGGUAGCAUAAUCAUUUGUCUAUUAAUUGUAGACCUGUAUGAAAGGCAAAAUGAGAGCCCAACUGUCUCUUAUAACAAAUCAAUUAAACUGAUCUCCUAGUACAAAAGCUAGAAUACUAACAUAAGACCAGAAGACCCUGUGAAGCUUUAACAAACCCAUUAAACCAAAUAAUGAUUACUUUCGGUUGGGGCGACCUUGGAAUAAAAAAGAACUUCCAAAGGCAAACAAGCCAAUAUUAGAUCCAGCAUAGCUGAUGAAAUAAGUUACUCCAGGGAUAACAGCGCUAUCUUCUUCAAGAGCCCAUAUCAAAAAGAAGGUUUACGACCUCGAUGUUGGAUCAGGACAUCCCAGUAAUGCAACCGUUACUAAAGGUUCGUUUGUUCAACGAUUAACAGUCCUACGUGAUCUG